UACGAAGGGGGCUAGCGUUGCUCGGAAUUACUGGGCGUAAAGGGCGCGUAGGCGGCUAUUUAAGUUGGGGGUGAAAUCCCGGGGCUCAACCUCGGAAUUGCCUUCAAAACUGGAUAUCUUGAGUUCGGGAGAGGUGAGUGGAACUCCGAGUGUAGAGGUGAAAUUCGUAGAUAUUCGGAAGAACACCAGUGGCGAAGGCGACUCACUGGCCCGAUACUGACGCUGAGGCGCGAAAGCGUGGGGAGCAAACAGG
This 253-nucleotide ribosomal RNA is filed under the name uncultured bacterium. Its description in RNAcentral is "partial 16S ribosomal RNA". It matches the Rfam family "Bacterial small subunit ribosomal RNA", at positions 524 to 776 of the family's 1533-position model. The record is from RNAcentral.